GGCCCAGCUUGCUGGGUACUCGAGUGGCGAACGGGUGAGUAACACGUGGGUGAUCUGCCCCUGACUCUGGGAUAAGCCUGGGAAACUGGGUCUAAUACCGGAUAUUCAUUUUUCCUCGCAUGGGGAUUGGUGGAAAGCUUUUGCGGUUGGGGAUGGGCCCGCGGCCUAUCAGCUUGUUGGUGGGGUAAUGGCCUACCAAGGCGACGACGGGUAGCCGACCUGAGAGGGUGAUCGGCCACACUGGGACUGAGACACGGCCCAGACUCCUACGGGAGGCAGCAGUGGGGAAUAUUGCACAAUGGGCGCAAGCCUGAUGCAGCGACGCCGCGUGAGGGAUGACGGCCUUCGGGUUGUAAACCUCUUUCAGCUCCGACGAAGCGCAAGUGACGGUAGGAGCAGAAGAAGCACCGGCCAACUACGUGCCAGCAGCCGCGGUAAUACGUAGGGUGCAAGCGUUGUCCGGAAUUACUGGGCGUAAAGAGCUCGUAGGCGGUUUGUCGCGUCGUCUGUGAAAUUCUGCAGCUUAACUGUAGGCGUGCAGGCGAUACGGGCAGACUUGAGUACUACAGGGGAGACUGGAAUUCCUGGUGUAGCGGUGAAAUGCGCAGAUAUCAGGAGGAACACCGGUGGCGAAGGCGGGUCUCUGGGUAGUAACUGACGCUGAGGAGCGAAAGCGUGGGUAGCGAACAGGAUUAGAUACCCUGGUAGUCCACGCCGUAAACGGUGGGUACUAGGUGUGGGUUUCAUUUCACGG
Molecule: ribosomal RNA, 754 nt
Filed under: Gordonia sp. (in: high G+C Gram-positive bacteria)
Lineage: Bacteria; Bacillati; Actinomycetota; Actinomycetes; Mycobacteriales; Gordoniaceae
Description: bacterial SSU rRNA
Rfam family: Bacterial small subunit ribosomal RNA
Source: RNAcentral